UGACGGUUGUGCAUGGACGGCCCUGGUUCACAGUCCAGCUCUGCCAUCCCUAGCAUGAUACCUGGUUUUAAAUGGCAAAACAAAACAAAACAAAAAAACCCAAUACCCUUCUUUCGGAUGUCCAAUCCAGAAAUAAAGUGGACAGAGUAGUUAACUGGGCUACUUCUUCUCAUUCACUUCAUUUUUUGACUCAAUUUCAGAUGAAGCCCUGUGGAUUCUACCUCUGGAUCAUCUCAUCCAAAAUGCCACCCGUCAGUUUCCACUGGUCCUCCUUGGUUCAAGGCGUCCUCAUCUUCACCCUCCACUGAAGCAACAACUCCUCACGGAUCUUCCUGCUUCCAAUCUUGCCUUUCUCUUUUCUCUCUUACCCAAACCCAUAGGCAUGUCCUCUUCAGAUCAUGAAUAAUAUUCCUAAAACACAAACAGGAUCAGAUUCCCCCCUUGUAAAAUUCCUUCAGUGGAUGUCUUCUAACUUCAAGGGAAAGGCUAGGACCCUUGGAUCUUCCAAAUCCAGACCAGGCUGACUGCUCUAGCCUUCUUCCAACAUCCACGACACCCAUUUUGCACCCAAUGCUCUAGGCACUGGGAGCUACUCACAGUUCCCCUGACCUGACAAACUGUUCAGACAUCCACACAUUUCCUAGUGCUGUCUGCACCUGCAUAAAUUGCCCUCUGCUUUCCUCAUGUCCCCUCUACUGUUAAAACCUGCUCAUCUCUUAUUACUCAGCUCCACUGUUCUCUUCUCGCUCUACAGAAAAGGUUCCAGGCUCCAGUUAUGACUCUCCUCUAUGUCCCAAUCAGAACACAUUCGGUUCCCAUUAGAGUCUCUAGGACAAUCUAAUCUUGCAUUACCUUUUCCUCUAUAGGACCACAGCUUGUUGAAGAAAAUGAACAGUCUCCCUGGUACCAUUUGUUUUUGUAUCCCCAGCAUCUAUGGCAUUGAGUACAUAGAAUCCUUGGGAUGACCAGCAAUUGAGCUGUGGGCAGAACAAGAACAAUCAGCAAAGGAGACUGAGAAGCACCAGCCAGAGAAGCAGGAGGAGAACCGGUAGAGAGACAGCUACUGCAGCCACCAAAGGGAGAAAUGUAGGCAUCUGGUUGGGUUGGGCUAGAUUUUUUAGGUCUGCAUGAGGCCUCAGGAUGACCCUGUGAGAGCACCCCAAGUCACCCAGGAGAGCCAGCAGAGCAUCUGUGUAUGACAUAUGACCCCCCUACCACCACCCUUGACUGUUCAAACUGGAGAAGGGCUGAAAACACGUGGGCAGCCAAGCACCUUUUAUGGGUUUCUGGAAGGUCAUCUCAGCCACAGCAUCAAGUACACCACGUGAUGCUCACUCACAGUAUGAGCCCCCAUGAGGAAAGCAAUGACCCCAACACUGAGAGCAUGGUAGGGUCCCAUCUGCUCCCACAUGGCAGACAGGCCCCGAGGAAUGAGCAUGACUGGGUCUGCCAACCAGAUGCAGAUGCAGGGUGGUAUGGUUGAAUCAGGCAGAUGGCUGUAGGAUCAAUUCUCCAUCUCACCAUUUUUUUGUUGGGUAAUUCUGAUUAAGUUAGUGAACUUCCUUAGCUUGCUUUGUACCAUGGAGACAAAACAUCCACCUCACACAAUUGCUAGAGCAUGCAGGCGAGGAAGGACUUGACAUCUAUUGUAGCUGAUAAUAAAGACACACUAGUGCUCUCUUCUUGUGCAUGUUCUUAGUCUUACAGAUGUAUGCUGAUUUUGAAUAUAAAACCUAUAUAGUUGAUGUUUACUUUUUGGAUAUCAUAAUGACCCUAGAGCCCACAGGAUAUAUGAUAUGAACAUUCAUUCCUUCAGCUAAUAUUUAUUGAGCAUCUGUGCUAAGUACUGGGAAGGCAAUAGUGAUUAUCCAAAGGUCACAUUUUCCUGUGUGUUGAAGGUGCUUCAUUGAGGAAGACAAAUGUGUGAGCUUCUAGGCAGGAGAAGUGACAUUCACAAAGACACAUACUGUGUAUAAUUGGAGGGUUAGAAGAUGGCAGAGAUGAGAGAUAGCAGGGAAGUUGCACAAGGGCCGGGGAAUGGACCACAGAGAGUGUUGAAUGCCACCCUCAAGAUAGCAGCCCCUGUGGGCCAUGGGCAGGACAGUGACAACUGACUGCUUCCCUUCCCUCUCUUUUUUUCUUUUUUUGUCUACUUUUAGUGUUUAAAAUUUCAAUUAAUUAAUGAAUCAAAGUUGGCAACAAAAGAUUUUGCUACAUUUGCCUGUCCCGAUUCUUGACAAUUCUCUCUGAGGAGGAGCACUGGGAUACUCGUACUGUCUGGCAUCUAUUAGGUAUUGUUUAAUAUCUGUUCAAAUGAACAAAAUGUACUUGUAUUGAGUUGAACCAAAGUGAAGCCCUUUGGGACAACUUUGGAGCAAUAGUGGAUUAUAUUAUUCUGGAUGACUUAUGAAAAAUAUUUACCCUUAAUCAGUCUUAGAUGAACUGAAAAUUAUUCAUAUUCAGUUCAGUUAAUGGUGGUUAUUUAGCUAAGUCUUGAUUACGUAUAACGGACAGGAGCUAGUCAACAGAUAACGACGUGGCCCUGGGUUCCCUCUGCCCUGGCCUGAACAUCCUUUUUAUGA
This 2582-nucleotide long non-coding RNA is filed under the name Homo sapiens (human). RNAcentral's name for it is "HSALNT0162364". The record is from RNAcentral. Lineage: Eukaryota; Metazoa; Chordata; Mammalia; Primates; Hominidae.